GCGAAUGCCGGGCCAGGAGCCGCGGAAAUAAGGAGGGUCCGGGGGUUAAUCGGAAUUACUGGGCGUAAAGCGUGCGCAGGCGGGUUGUUAAGAGAGAUGUGAAAGCCCUGGGCUCAACCUAGGAAUAGCAUUUCGAACUGGCGAACUAGAGUCUUGUAGAGGGGGGUAGAAUUCCAGGUGUAGCGGUGAAAUGCGUAGAGAUCUGGAGGAAUACCGGUGGCGAAGGCGGCCCCCUGGACAAAGACUGACGCUCAUGCACGAAAGCGUGGGGAGCAAACAGGAUUAGAUACCCUUGUAGUC
RNAcentral lists this ribosomal RNA (300 nucleotides) under uncultured Lactobacillus sp. Its description in RNAcentral is "bacterial SSU rRNA". It matches the Rfam family "Bacterial small subunit ribosomal RNA", at positions 496 to 795 of the family's 1533-position model. The record is from RNAcentral. Lineage: Bacteria; Bacillati; Bacillota; Bacilli; Lactobacillales; Lactobacillaceae.